AGAGUUUGAUCCUGGCUCAGGAUUAACGCUGGCGGCGUGCAUAACACAUGCAAGUCGAACGAUGAAGAUUAUUAGACUUCUUCGGAAUGAAAAUAAUUGGAUUAGUGGCGGACGGGUGAGUAACGCGUGAGUAACCUGCCUUACACAAGGGGAUAGCCGUUGGAAACGACGAAUAAUACCCUAUGAAACUAUCACUUCGCAUGAAGCGAUAGUCAAAGUGUUAGCGGUGUAAGAUGGACUUGCGUCUGAUUAGCUAGUUGGUGAGAAAAAAGCCCACCAAGGCAACGAUCAGUAGCCGGCUUGAGAGAGUGUACGGCCACAUUGGGACUGAGACACGGCCCAGACUCCUACGGGAGGCAGCAGUGGGGAAUUUUGCACAAUGGGGGAAACCCUGAUGCAGCGACGCCGCGUGAUUUAGAAGGCCUUCGGGUUGUAAAAAUCUUUUGUAUAGGAAGAAAAUGACAGUACUAUACGAAUAAGGUCCGGCUAAUUACGUGCCAGCAGCCGCGGUAAUACGUAAGGACCGAGCGUUGUCCGGAAUCAUUGGGCGUAAAGGGUACGUAGGCGGGUCAUUAAGUUAGAAGUCAAAGGCUAUAGCUCAACUAUAGUAAGCUUCUAAAACUGGAGACCUUGAGUAAUGGAAGGGAAAGUGGAAUUCCUAGUGUAGCGGUGGAAUGCGCAGAUAUUAGGAGGAAUACCGGUGGCGAAGGCGACUUUCUGGCCAUUAACUGACGCUGAGGUACGAAAGCGUGGGUAGCAAACAGGAUUAGAUACCCUGGUAGUCCACGCCGUAAACGAUGAGUGUUAGGUGUCUGGAGUAAAUCUGGGUGCCGCAGCUAACGCAUUAAACACUCCGCCUGGGGAGUACGCACGCAAGUGUGAAACUUAAAGGAAUUGACGG
RNAcentral lists this ribosomal RNA (901 nucleotides) under uncultured bacterium. RNAcentral's name for it is "bacterial SSU rRNA". It matches the Rfam family "Bacterial small subunit ribosomal RNA", at positions 8 to 916 of the family's 1533-position model. The record is from RNAcentral.